Molecule: ribosomal RNA, 440 nt
Filed under: uncultured bacterium
Lineage: Bacteria
Description: partial 16S ribosomal RNA
Rfam family: Bacterial small subunit ribosomal RNA
Source: RNAcentral
CCUACGGGCGGCAGCAGUGGGGAAUAUUGCACAAUGGGGGAAACCCUGAUGCAGCGACGCCGCGUGAAGGAAGAAGUCUUUCGGUAUGUAAACUUCUAUCAGCAGGGAAGAAAAUGACGGUACCUGACUAAGAAGCCCCGGCUAACUACGUGCCAGCAGCCGCGGUAAUACGUAGGGGGCACGCGUUAUACGGAUUUACUGGGUGUAACGGGAGCGUAGGCGGUGAUGCAAGUCAGACGUGAAAGCCCGCAGCUCAACUGCGGGACUGCUUUUGAAAAUGGAUGACUAGAUUGCAGGAGAGGGAAGUUGAAUUCCUAGUGUAGCGGGGAAAUGCGUAGAUAUUAGGAGGAACACCAGUGGCGAAGGCGGCUUACUGGACUGUAAAUGACGCUGAGGCUCGAAAGCGUGGGGAGCAAACAGGAUUAGAUACCCUUGUAGUC